CGGUUAAAAAGCUCGUAGUUGGAUUUCUGUUGAGGAUGACCGGUCCGCUCUUUGAGCGCGUAUCUGGUUCAGCCUUGGCAUCCUCUUGGGGAACGCUACUGUGCUUGAUUGCAUGGGGCGGUAUUCAAGACUUUUACUUUGAGGAAAUUAGAGUGUUCACUGCAAGCGUUAGCAAUUGAAUACAUUAGCAUGGAAUAAUAAUAUAGGACCUUGGUACUAUUUUGUUGGUUUCUAGAACUAAGGUAAUGAUUAAUAGGGACAAUUGGGGGCAUUCGUAUUAACGCGUCAGAGGUGGAAUUCUUAGAUUGCGUUACGACGAACUACUGCGAAAGCAUUUGCCAAGGAUGUUUUCAUUGAUCAAGAACGAAAGUAUGGGGAUCGAAGACGCUUAGAUACCGUCGUAGUCUAUACCAUAAACUAUGCCAACUAGAGAUUGGAGGUCGUUCUCUUUAUGACUCCUUCAGCACCUUAUGAGAAAUCAAAGUCUUUGGGUUCCGGGGGGAGUAUGGUCGCAAGGCUGAAACUUAAAGGAAUUGACGGAAGGGCACCACCAGGAGUGGAGCCUGCGGCUUAAUUUGACUCAACACGAGAAAACUUACCAGGUCCAGACAUAGUAAGGAUUGACAGAUUGAUAG
This 635-nucleotide ribosomal RNA is filed under the name uncultured marine eukaryote. Its description in RNAcentral is "SSU rRNA". It matches the Rfam family "Eukaryotic small subunit ribosomal RNA", at positions 616 to 1254 of the family's 1831-position model. The record is from RNAcentral.